This 801-nucleotide ribosomal RNA is filed under the name Priestia endophytica. Its description in RNAcentral is "bacterial SSU rRNA". It matches the Rfam family "Bacterial small subunit ribosomal RNA", at positions 90 to 874 of the family's 1533-position model. The record is from RNAcentral. Lineage: Bacteria; Bacillati; Bacillota; Bacilli; Caryophanales; Bacillaceae.
ACUUAGCGGCGGACGGGUGAGUAACACGUGGGCAACCUGCCCUUGAGACGGGGAUAACUCCGGGAAACCGGAGCUAAUACCGGAUAACACAUAUCUUCGCAUGAGGAUAUGUUAGAAGGUGGCUUUUAGCUACCACUCAAGGAUGGGCCCGCGGCGCAUUAGCUAGUUGGUGAGGUAACGGCUCACCAAGGCGACGAUGCGUAGCCGACCUGAGAGGGUGAUCGGCCACACUGGGACUGAGACACGGCCCAGACUCCUACGGGAGGCAGCAGUAGGGAAUCUUCCGCAAUGGACGAAAGUCUGACGGAGCAACGCCGCGUGAGUGAUGAAGGUUUUCGGAUCGUAAAGCUCUGUUGUUAGGGAAGAACAAGUACCUGUUAAAUAAGCAGGUACCUUGACGGUACCUAACCAGAAAGCCACGGCUAACUACGUGCCAGCAGCCGCGGUAAUACGUAGGUGGCAAGCGUUGUCCGGAAUUAUUGGGCGUAAAGCGCGCGCAGGCGGUUCCUUAAGUCUGAUGUGAAAGCCCACGGCUCAACCGUGGAGGGUCAUUGGAAACUGGGGAACUUGAGUGCAGAAGAGGAGAGCGGAAUUCCACGUGUAGCGGUGAAAUGCGUAGAGAUGUGGAGGAACACCAGUGGCGAAGGCGGCUCUCUGGUCUGUAACUGACGCUGAGGCGCGAAAGCGUGGGGAGCGAACAGGAUUAGAUACCCUGGUAGUCCACGCCGUAAACGAUGAGUGCUAAGUGUUAGAGGGUUUCCGCCCUUUAGUGCUGCAGCAAACGCAUUAAGCACUCCGCCU